RNAcentral lists this long non-coding RNA (825 nucleotides) under Coffea arabica (coffee). RNAcentral's name for it is "long non-coding RNA (CARA_LNC002601)". Lineage: Eukaryota; Viridiplantae; Streptophyta; Magnoliopsida; Gentianales; Rubiaceae. The record is from RNAcentral.
CAAUAUUACAUAAAAUAGGUUGGGAAUGGUGUUGAUCCAUAGCACCAUAUUCGUAGUUUUUUGAGAGAAUCAAAGAAAAUUCCAAAUUUUGGACCUGCAACAUCACCAAAAUACACAAAUUAUAUAAUCAAACACGAGGAAAAAAUGAACUUAAUCAAAUUUGUUAAAUGUAUUUUGAUUUUCUUUAGUCAUGGCAAAAAUGAUGGAAAUCAGGCAAAAGUAAGGGGAGGAAACAACAAAAAUAACUCUUUUCACAGCUCCUUGGGUUUAGAGUGAACUUCACGCCUCUAUAGAUAUACAUAACUAAAAUAGAAAAUAGACAUAUAUAUACUAAAAUCUACGGUUAGGGUUCUAAAAUCAUUUCUUAUAGGAGAUGAUGGAGAAACGGCGCAUUAUAGCACAAGAAAAAAAGAAGGCUGAACACAAACUCAGAAGCAUACUUAGGAAGAAAAGAAAAAACAGUAGAUCUUUGGGUUUACAAAUACUUCCGACUUUCGGUGCUUUUGGAUGGGUUAGGAUGAAGAUUUUACUGUGGCUUUCUUUGUUUUACUCAAAGAAGGAGAUGGAAGAAUGGUAUUUCAAACCUCUGGGUUAUUAAUUGAAAAAUUAACAAAUCCUAACAGUAAAAAUGUCUUUUUCUUUUGAAUAAAGGAAACUGUAAAAAUUUAGGGAAAUAUUGGAGCUUACCAAUCAAGAUGAUUUUUAUGUCUCAUGCAUUUCGCACCUUCAAAUCCAGACCAAUUCUAACAAGGGAAAAAAAUCAGUUAGAAUCAUAAAAUUGAAAAAAGAAAAGAGAAGAACGGGAAAACGGGGGAAAUAGGAAGG